GAACGCUGGCGGCGUGCUUAACACAUGCAAGUCGAACGAGGAUGCAGGAGAGCUUGCUCGAAUGUAUCCGAGUGGCGGACGGGUGAGUAACGCGUGAACAAUCUGUCUCAUACAGGGGGAUAACGCAUCGAAAGAUGUGCUAAUACCGCGUAGGACCACGGGUUCGCAUGGGCCUGAGGUGAAAGACGAAAGUCGGUAUGAGGUGAGUUCGCGUCUGAUUAGAUAGUUGGUGAGGUAACGGCCCACCAAGUCAACGAUCAGUAGCCGACCUGAGAGGGUGAUCGGCCACAUUGGGACUGAGACACGGCCCAGACUCCUACGGGAGGCAGCAGUGGGGAAUAUUGGGCAAUGGGCGCAAGCCCUGACCCAGCAACGCCGCGUGAAGGAAGAAGGUUUUCGGAUCGUAAACUUCUGUCCUAUGUGAAGAUAGUGACGGUAGCAUAGGAGGAAGCCCCGGCUAACUACGUGCCAGCCGCGGC
Molecule: ribosomal RNA, 479 nt
Filed under: uncultured bacterium
Lineage: Bacteria
Description: bacterial SSU rRNA
Rfam family: Bacterial small subunit ribosomal RNA
Source: RNAcentral